Molecule: small nucleolar RNA, 75 nt
Organism: Melanaphis sacchari
Lineage: Eukaryota; Metazoa; Arthropoda; Insecta; Hemiptera; Aphididae
Source: RefSeq, a predicted model, not a curated record
UUGCUAUGAUGAGUUGUAUAAUUAUUGAAAAUAUCUAUGAGAUUUUAAUUUAUGAGCUUUUUAACACUGAGCAAU